This 355-nucleotide unclassified non-coding RNA is filed under the name soil metagenome. RNAcentral describes it as "partial contains 5.8S ribosomal RNA, internal transcribed spacer 2, and large subunit ribosomal RNA". The stretch from base 1 to 120 matches the Rfam family "5.8S ribosomal RNA", at positions 35 to 154 of the family's 154-position model. The record is from RNAcentral.
GAUGAAGAACGUAGCGAAAUGCGAUAAGUAAUGUGAACUGCAGAAUUCAGUGAAUCAUCGAAUCUUUGAACGCACAUUGCGCCCAUUAGUAUUCUAGUGGGCAUGCCUGUUCGAGCGUCAUUAAGUCCACUUAAGCCCUGCUUAGUGUUGGGAGACUGCUCCAGCGGUGCUACCCUGUAGCUACCCUGCAGCUCCUCAAAGACAGCGGCGGAGUUGUGGUAUCCUCUGAGCUUAGUAACUUGUUCUAGCUUUCGAGUACACCACUUCCCCUGCCGUAAAACCCUUAAUUUUUAAUGGUUGACCUCGGAUCAGGUAGGAAUACCCGCUGAACUUAAGCAUAUCAAUAAGCGGAGGA